RNAcentral lists this transfer RNA (74 nucleotides) under bacterium. RNAcentral's name for it is "tRNA-His". It matches the Rfam family "tRNA". From Rfam's summary of the family: Transfer RNA (tRNA) molecules are approximately 80 nucleotides in length. Their secondary structure includes four short double-helical elements and three loops (D, anti-codon, and T loops). The record is from RNAcentral. RNAcentral also lists the same sequence under 1 other name.
GUGAGUGUAGCUCAAAUGGUUAGAGUACCUGACUGUGGCUCAGGAUGUUGUGGGUUCAAUUCCCAUCACUCACC